RNAcentral lists this ribosomal RNA (467 nucleotides) under Bacillus pumilus. RNAcentral's name for it is "bacterial SSU rRNA". It matches the Rfam family "Bacterial small subunit ribosomal RNA", at positions 426 to 884 of the family's 1533-position model. Lineage: Bacteria; Bacillati; Bacillota; Bacilli; Caryophanales; Bacillaceae. The record is from RNAcentral.
UAAAGCUCUGUUGUUAGGGAAGAACAAGUGCAAGAGUAACUGCUUGCACCUUGACGGUACCUAACCAGAAAGCCACGGCUAACUACGUGCCAGCAGCCGCGGUAAUACGUAGGUGGCAAGCGUUGUCCGGAAUUAUUGGGCGUAAAGGGCUCGCAGGCGGUUUCUUAAGUCUGAUGUGAAAGCCCCCGGCUCAACCGGGGAGGGUCAUUGGAAACUGGGAAACUUGAGUGCAGAAGAGGAGAGUGGAAUUCCACGUGUAGCGGUGAAAUGCGUAGAGAUGUGGAGGAACACCAGUGGCGAAGGCGACUCUCUGGUCUGUAACUGACGCUGAGGAGCGAAAGCGUGGGGAGCGAACAGGAUUAGAUACCCUGGUAGUCCACGCCGUAAACGAUGAGUGCUAAGUGUUAGGGGGUUUCCGCCCCUUAGUGCUGCAGCUAACGCAUUAAGCACUCCGCCUGGGGAGUACG